AAAUUAAUUAUUACAAUGUUUUUGAAACAACACCAAAUUAACAUUUUCUUUUUCAAUCCGUUUUUAUAAUAA
This 72-nucleotide unclassified non-coding RNA is filed under the name soil metagenome. Its description in RNAcentral is "partial internal transcribed spacer 1". The record is from RNAcentral.